GAUGAACGCUGGCGGCGUGCCUAAUACAUGCAAGUCGAGCGAACGGACGAGAAGCUUGCUUCUCUGAUGUUAGCGGCGGACGGGUGAGUAACACGUGGAUAACCUACCUAUAAGACUGGGAUAACUUCGGGAAACCGUAGCUAAUACCGGAUAAUAUUUUGAACCGCAUGGUUCAAAAGUGAAAGACGGUCUUGGUGUCACUUAUAGAUGGAUCCGCGCUGCAUUAGCUAGUUGGUAAGGUAACGGCUUACCAAGGCAACGAUGCAUAGCCGACCUGAGAGGGUGAUCGGCCACACUGGAACUGAGACACGGUCCAGACUCCUACGGGAGGCAGCAGUAGGGAAUCUUCCGCAAUGGGCGAAAGCCUGACGGAGCAACGCCGCGUGAGUGAUGAAGGUCUUCGGAUCGUAAAACUCUGUUAUUAGGGAAGAACAUAUGUGUAAGUAACUGUGCACAUCUUGACGGUACCUAAUCAGAAAGCCACGGCUAACUACGUG
RNAcentral lists this ribosomal RNA (497 nucleotides) under uncultured bacterium. RNAcentral describes it as "partial 16S ribosomal RNA". It matches the Rfam family "Bacterial small subunit ribosomal RNA", at positions 28 to 507 of the family's 1533-position model. The record is from RNAcentral.